CAGUAGCCGCGGGAAUACGUAGGUGGCAAGCGUUGUCCGGAAUUAUUGGGCGUAAAGGGCUCGCAGGCGGUUUCUUAAGUCUGAUGUGAAAGCCCCCGGCUCAACCGGGGAGGGUCAUUGGAAACUGGGAAACUUGAGUGCAGAGGAGGAGAGUGGAAUUCCACGUGUAGCGGUGAAAUGCGUAGAGAUGUGGAGGAACACCAGUGGCGAAGGCGACUCUCUGGUCUGUAACUGACGCUGAGGAGCGAAAGCGUGGGGAGCGAACAGGAUUAGAUACCCCCGUAGUCCCUGUCUCUUAUAC
Molecule: ribosomal RNA, 301 nt
Filed under: uncultured bacterium
Lineage: Bacteria
Description: partial 16S ribosomal RNA
Rfam family: Bacterial small subunit ribosomal RNA
Source: RNAcentral